GUGGGGAAUAUUGGACAAUGGGCGAAAGCCUGAUCCAGCCAUGCCGCGUGUGUGAAGAAGGUCUUCGGAUUGUAAAGCACUUUAAGUUGGGAGGAAGGGCAGUAAGUUAAUACCUUGCUGUUUUGACGUUACCGACAGAAUAAGCACCGGCUAACUUCGUGCCAGCAGCCGCGGUAAUACGAAGGGUGCAAGCGUUAAUCGGAAUUACUGGGCGUAAAGCGCGCGUAGGUGGUUUUGUAAGUUGGAGGUGAAAUCCCCGGGCUCAACCUGGGAACUGCCUCCAAAACUGCAUGACUAGAGUACGGUAGAGGGUAGUGGAAUUUCCUGUGUAGCGGUGAAAUGCGUAGAUAUAGGAAGGAACACCAGUGGCGAAGGCGACCACCUGGACUGAUACUGACACUGAGGUGCGAAAGCGUGGGGAGCAAACAGGAUUAGAUACCCUAGUAGUCC
RNAcentral lists this ribosomal RNA (450 nucleotides) under uncultured bacterium. RNAcentral describes it as "partial 16S ribosomal RNA". It matches the Rfam family "Bacterial small subunit ribosomal RNA", at positions 354 to 796 of the family's 1533-position model. The record is from RNAcentral.